GUCCCAGCCGCCGCGGUAAUACGGAGGGUGCAAGCGUUGUUCGGAAUUAUUGGGCGUAAAGCGCGUGUAGGCGGUCUUUUAAGUCUGAUGUGAAAGCCCCGGGCUCAACCUGGGAAGUGCAUUGGAAACUGGGAGGCUUGAGUACGGGAGAGGAGAGUGGAAUUCCUAGUGUAGGAGUGAAAUCCGUAGAUAUUAGGAGGAACACCGGUGGCGAAGGCGGCUCUCUGGACCGAUACUGACGCUGAGACGCGAAAGCGUGGGUAGCAAACAGGAUUAGAUACCCUGGUAGUCCACGCCGUAAACGAUGAGUACUAGGUGUUGCGGGUAUUGACCCCUGCAGUGCCGUAGCUAACGCAUUAAGUACUCCGCCUGGGAAGUACGGUCGCAAGACUAAAACUCAAAGGAAUUGGCGGGGGCCCGCACAAGCGGUGGAGCAUGUGGUUUAAUUCGACGCAACGCGCAGAACCUUACCUGGGCUUGACAUCCACGGAACCCUCCCGAAACGGAGGGGUGCCCUUCGGGGAGCCGUGAGACAGGUGCUGCAUGGCUGUCGUCAGCUCGUGUCGUGAGAUGUUGGGUUAAGUCCCGCAACGAGCGCAACCCUUGUCAUCAGUUGCCAUCAUUCAGUUGGGCACUCUGAUGAAACUGCCGGUGUCAAACCGGAGGAAGGUGGGGAUGACGUCAAGUCCUCAUGGCCCUUAUGUCCAGGGCUACACACGUGCUACAAUGGCCGGUACAAAGAGUAGCAAUACCGCGAGGUGGAGCCAAUCUCAGAAAGCCGGUCUCAGUUCGGAUUGGNNUCUGCAACUCGACUCCAUGAAGUCGNAAUCGCUAGUAAUCGCGGAUCAGCAUGCCGCGGNGAAUACGUUCCCGGGCCUUGUACACACCGCCCGUCACACC
Molecule: ribosomal RNA, 900 nt
Filed under: uncultured Geobacter sp.
Lineage: Bacteria; Pseudomonadati; Thermodesulfobacteriota; Desulfuromonadia; Geobacterales; Geobacteraceae
Description: bacterial SSU rRNA
Rfam family: Bacterial small subunit ribosomal RNA
Source: RNAcentral